CUACGGGGCGCUCCAGGCGCGAAACCUUCACACUGUGCGAAAGCGCGAUGAGGGAAUCCCAAGUGCUUGCUCUUAGGAGUAAGCUGUUUCUCUGUUUAAAACGCAGGGAGAGGAAGGGCUGGGUAAGACGGGUGCCAGCCGCCGCGGUAAUACCUGCAGCUCAAGUGGUGACCGCUAUUAUUGGGCCUAAAACGUUCGUAGCCGGCUGAGUAAAUGCCUGGGUAAAUCGUGCCGCUUAACGGUACGAAUUCCGGGUAGACUGCUUAGCUUGAGACCGGGAGAAGCUAGAGGUACUCCUGGGGUAGGGGUGAAAUCCUGUAAUCCUGGGGGGACCACCAGUGGCGAAGGCGUCUAGCUAGAACGGGUCUGACGGUGAGGAACGAAACCCUGGGGCGCAAACCGGAUUAGAUACCCGGGUAGUC
This 422-nucleotide ribosomal RNA is filed under the name uncultured archaeon. RNAcentral's name for it is "partial 16S ribosomal RNA". It matches the Rfam family "Archaeal small subunit ribosomal RNA", at positions 323 to 746 of the family's 1478-position model. The record is from RNAcentral.